UACGGGGGGGGCAAGCGUUGUUCGGAAUUACUGGGCGUAAAGGGCUCGUAGGCGGCCAACUAAGUCGGAUGUGAAAUCCCCAGGCUUAACCUGGGAACUGCAUCCGAUACUGGAUGGCUUGAAUCCGGGAGAGGGAUGCAGAAUUCCAGGUGUAGCGGUGAAAUGCGUAGAUAUCUGGAGGAAUACCGGUGGCGAAGGCGGCAUCCUGGACCGGCAUUGACGCUGAUGAGCGAAAGCAUGGGGAGCGAACAGG
RNAcentral lists this ribosomal RNA (253 nucleotides) under uncultured bacterium. RNAcentral describes it as "partial 16S ribosomal RNA". It matches the Rfam family "Bacterial small subunit ribosomal RNA", at positions 524 to 776 of the family's 1533-position model. The record is from RNAcentral.